This 12193-nucleotide long non-coding RNA is filed under the name Phoenix dactylifera (date palm). Its description in RNAcentral is "long non-coding RNA (PDAC_LNC000888)". The record is from RNAcentral. Lineage: Eukaryota; Viridiplantae; Streptophyta; Magnoliopsida; Arecales; Arecaceae.
AAGGCUAGGAUUUAAUCCAUCCAAUCCAAUUUAUUGAAAAGAAAAGAAACUAUUUGCAGACUCCUGCUUGGCAUGCAAGGAAGCGCAUUUCUUGUUCUUGCCUAUAAAGCAGCCACGCCCCUGGCCGAUUCGCACCUUCACCCGUCCUUCCCACUCUCCUCGUUAUUCCUUUAUUCCUCUCUAAUUCUCUCGAGAAUAACAUAAUGGCGAGUGCCAAAGAUGCGAGGAAUCCGGAGAGCAGGCCCACGGGUAAUCCCUACCCGAAGAGGGGCCAGAUUAAGCACAAGAUCUUCGAAGACGUUGUCUCGGCCAUCACCUCCAUGGCUGGCGGCGGUCGUCGGAGGGAAGGACAGGAGGGAGGGGAGGGCCGGAAUGGGAGCUCAGCGACGGGCCGCUCCCAAUCCGAAGAGAAAUCCUAUUCCUGAAUCCUGAUGGAUGGAUUCUAAGCCGCCCCAGCUGUUACUCUGCGCUGUUUUUUUGCAGCAGAGCAGUUGGACUUCUUCUGGAUCUCUGCAGCUGUGUUUUUUAAAUAACCUGCAGAGGCCCAGCUGUUUUUUCGUCUCACUCUUCUUCUUUUUUUUUUCUGUUUGGAAUCUCUGUCUUUGGUUUUAGAAGAACUGUAACUUAGAAGUGGCUUUCUCUGUUGCUGUUGUUUUUUCGGAAGUAGCAGAGUGAGGUUUAGGUGUGUUUGGUUUUUUCUGCAAUAACCUCUGUGAUCUCUACUUUUUACGUAGAUCUCGGAGGAGGUGUGCUUGUAAAAAAUUUACAUUUUCUUAAUGAUGCUUCUUUCUUUCUCUGACAUAAGCUUCAGCGGCUCUGUUAGAUCUUCAUCUGUUGCUUUUAAAUUAUUUCCAAGAUAUUAACUAUAUAGUAGGGAAAUAAAAGAAGCAAAUUAAGGACACAAAUGCUUGUUGGACUCUAGAACGUAUUGCUAUAUAGAAAACUUCGGUUGUGGGAUUGUUCUACUGCCUCCAUUCCUCUAAAUCUCACGCCAAAAGAUUUGUGCCAGAGAAUUAGCUCUAGGAGCUAAAUCUCAUGAGAUAGAAACAGGCAGCAGUCGCACAGGGAGCUCCUGGAGACGAGACUGUGAAAACAUGAGUAGGAGACUGAUUCCAAAUGCUUGAAACCUGCGAGCCGUGAUCUAAUUCUAGACUUGGUUUGGCCAACAGGUUUAGCACUAAUACCGGGCGGCUCUUCCUCUCCCUUAUCAUUAAAAAAACCCAAUAAUAUUAGCAGUAAGAUGAAGAAACUGACAAUUUUGUCAGACAAUCCUAAUUUCUUAUCUCCAACAGUUACUUUAUAUUAAAAAAAAUCCAAUCAGAAAAACAGUCAAAGUUUCCAGAAACAGCGAACAACUUUGCCACUAGGUAUGAUGCUCCUCCGUGCAACUUUGCCAGCGUGGCAUUUCUGGACUUGAAAAUCUUUAUCAUUAAAAAAACAGCGAACAGCUUUAUUAAGAUAUCAAUCCAUCGACCUGGAUCUUGUGUUGGGGGUCCAAAGACAUCGUAGCAUCAAACGGGACACAUCAGGUACACUGCAUAAAUAUAUUAGCCUUGCACAGGUACUUUGUCGGAAAGAUCAACGUUUAGGCCUUUCAAAACUCUUUUUAAUUUCACAUUUUAUAACAUUGUUAAACUAGGAAGAGCAACAUCAGACCUUGCUCAUCCUUAGGCCUUUCAAAACACUUUCUGUUUUCAUAUUUUAUAACAUUGCUUAACUAGGAAGAGCUGCAUCAAACCUUGCUGAUCCAAACUUCAGGGAGCAAAGUCCGAUUUUAUUAUGAACACCAAAAAAAAAAAGCCUGAUCCACAAAAUUUCCAUCAUUAUGGAUCUAGAGAGAGUUAAAUAUACGCUGCCUUAUUUCUGCAUGAGGAAAGACUAUUUCUAAGUUUAAAAUCCCCAUAUUUGGAUACAGGAAAUAGGUGAAUUUAUUUUGGUCGAGUUAAUUUUAUAUCCAAGGCCUUAGAGUAUGGUGGAAAAUUCAAGUAAUUUGAAUUUUUAUAUUUGGAUUGGGCUACUAGAUUUUUCUUAUAAUUGUUGGAGACUAUUGGAUGUGUUAAUUUAAAUACAUGUCUAGAUUUAUAAUUUGAGCAGGGAUGUUUUGUCUUUAUUCAUAAAGCCAUUAGUAAAAGUCAUAUUGAGUAGAGAUGCUUACACAAGUUAUCACGUAAAGCACUGCCGAUAGAUAUUAAGAAUCUUGGUAAAGAAAAUUUUGGAGAUUAGUAGAGUUAAUUCUACUCAUAGUGAUAUUGGCUCAGAACUCCUAACUCAUUGAAUUUGGAAUAAUUUUUUUUGAAAGAGAGAUCGAUCUAGAUUGACUAAUCAAAUUGCUAAGGGAAUCUAGAAUUAAUUCACUUUAAAUUCAAGCUAGAUAUUUUGGAUUCUAAAAAAGAUGUGGAGAUCACGCAAUAAUCUUAAACUUGACUAAAGGCUUGAGGGUUAGUUAUUGUAAGUACACUCUACAUAAAUUGAGAGCAAAAAAAUCUAGAGGUUUUGAUCUAGUCCAUUUGAAAAUUUUGAAAAUUGGAUUUUCUUAGUAUUGAUCCAAAGUGAUACUUCGGUCGAAAAUCAUUUAGCGACCUUAGAGUAAAUGAUGAGUUAGAUUAGAGUGCGCAGCAAAAGUAUGAUGGAGUACUUUCAAAGUUUAAGCCUUAAGUAAGUUAAUUUUGAGGAUGAUUUUUUUUAGGAGGGAGAAUGUACAAACCAGUAAAAUAGCCUAGUCCUGUGGGCUUGUGGGCCGGGCCCGAACUAAUCCUGCGCUAGAGCCAGCUGUGGGCUUGUGGGCCGGCCCGAAGAGGCUUGGCCCAAGCCUAACCAUGCCAUGUGGCAUGAUUCCAAUGGAGGGGAGACUCCGACAAGAGUCUUCUUCCUCCUCCGAUUUUCGACGAAAUAGAAGUUAAUCUGGGGCAAUCUAAGUUUGACUCGAACUUUAGGAUCACGCCUAAUUAACUCCCCUCCUCCUCUAAUUUCCAUCACCAGAAUCAUCAAAAAUCGCCACCGAUUCUAAGUCUUCUUCUCCGUGUCUCCUUCUUGAUUCCUCGCUGAAAAGCUGUCGUACCACCUCAUCAGACCGGGGUAGGGGUUCCUCAUCUUCUUCCUCCUUGUUUUUUGGUUCGGUGGCCACUAUCGCCAUGGAUUUAGGCCAGCAAAUUGCCGAGAUUUCAUCCAAAAAUAAGGUGCUCUAUUUCGGCCCAUUUUCUUCCUUGUUCAUUGCCGCCGGCCACUGAGUUUGGCCGAGUUUUGCCGCUGUCCAGGACUCCUAAGAUUGGGUGGCAGCUAGUCAAUAGGCCGGCCAAGAUCUAGAUCGAGUUGUCAUGGAUCAUCCUCCACCUUUUUUGUGUUCUUCAUCUCUUCUUUCUUGUGCUAGUCGACCACUAUCGCCAGUGGUGUCAUGGCUGAAGGUUCGCCUGAGACCGUAAUUGAGGCUGGCCACUAUGGUCGUCACCCCCUCUGAUCCAAAUAGAAAAGGGAGAGGCGGGCUCUCCCCUAUUUUGAGAAGAAACAAGAGUCUUCUCUCUCUUCUUUCUCUCUCCUCUCUCUUUCUUGAUUUAUCUUUCUCUGUAUGGUUCUAUAGACCUAGCAGGAGGAUCCCAGAUAUUCUCUUUGUGGAUCUAUGUUGACCCCAGUAGAGGGUCCUGGACUAGUGUCGCUAUGACCACCUAUUGUGCUAGCUUUACCUCGACCAUCGCUGAGUACCGUUAGGCUCUAUCAUCAUGAAUCUUUAUUAUGUUACUAAAACCAUAGUUUGAUUCUCGUUUCAUAUUUUGAUUGGCUUGAUUGGCCAGAGUGGACUGACUCAGAUCUUCAGACGCUGCUACCUAGUCGAUCCUGUCCAUCCUGCACCCGACCAUUAUUAGCUACCAUUGAACACAUGAUUAAUAACCCCUGAAUUAUCGUUCUUUUUUUGAUUGGAUAUAUAUUUUUUGAUCAGAUAGAUUAAGUUACAUUGUACUAACCAAUUCGAAUAAUUGGGCAUUGUCAUGUAGCCUGCCUCGUAUAUCUUUCUAUACAAAUCUAUUUUCAUAGUCAGUCCUAAUUUUGUAUAGGCUACAAUCAUCCAGACAAGAAGAAGCCCAACAAAAUCUUAUACUCUAGUUUCUAAAUUAAGGUAAGACCCUGACAUUUUAUUUAUAUUUAAUUUUUAAUUAAACAAGAAUAAAGAAUAUGGAUAAUUCAAAUAUUAGAACUCUAAAAUUAGGUUAUUACUAAAUAAUAAAAUCAUUAAUAUGGCGAGUGAUUGAUAAGGGAUAAGGUCAUGUUCUUGUCCUUUUUGGUAGCUUCUGAUAUAAGCCCGAGCCAUUGUUUGGAGAACAGUGCAACACACGGACUCCACGAGACAUUGCCAUUGUGGCCACCCCCUAAUCUAGAAAAAAAGAAAUUCACUUGAAAGGAAAGUCUAAUCUGACUCGCAAUGUCGGCAACGACUUUGUCAAGUCAACGCUAGCUGGGAGCACUGACUUGUAUCUACUGCUUCCCAACGGCAGAACUAAAAGACGGAAGUUUAGCUUUCUCGUUCUAGUGGCAGCAGACAUGCUUUAUCACCUUUUCUUUUCCCAGUUAUAAUUGCUUUCUUGGCCGGAAACCACUUACAUUAGGUGAGAGCAGACCCACACGAAGAGGCAGUCAACAAGGGAUAUGCUCCGUGAAAGUUUUUUUUGUUUUGUUUUUGAUUGAAGACAUGUGCUUAGUGAAAGUUGUUUUCAUUAGAAUCUUGUUUCAAAUGUUUUCCAGGGUUGCUUGUGGUUUUUUCUAGGCUUAAAUUUGUCUCUCCUUGGAUCAGAUAGCAAGUAAAAUAGAACUUAACUUCGGCCUCUCAAUUUUUUUCAGCAAAAAAAAAAGCACCUUAUAGUGACUGCCACUAAAUUUUCUCCAAUUCUUCUUAAUCUGCAAACGCCCGAUCUAAAGGCUAUUUGCUUGUUGUGGUCCUACCCCCAACUUGUGAACCCAGGACCACCUCUUUUUGGAGAGUUGCCACCGUAUCUUGUUGAGAACAGUCGUCUUGCUUUCAUAAGAAACUGCAAGAUAACUUAACGAUAUUUAAUAUAAAACCUAAUCAUUCAGUUGCCGUUCUAGUCACGAUCGUUUUUUCUAAUUUGAAUUAGUUACAAUUUUUUAAGUUCAGUUAUAGCCUAGCUAAAUUCUAAGCGAAUAUUGGUAGUACUCGAAAUAUGAUGCAGUUCAUGCCGAGUCCUUUUUUGAUGUAAAUGGAGGUAGCCAGCGGCUGCCCCCAGAUUUUUUUGUUGAGAGAAGAUAUUCACAUACAGAAGAUGAAAAGAAUUUAUAAAGAAGAAGACAAAAGAAAUAAGAAAAGUACUGCAGACACUGUACUUAUCUGGGUCCAAAUUUUUUAAGUGCAAUAUCUAAGAAUGUUGAUGGAAACCUCUCAUUUGCUGAGCAAAGGGGUGUAACCACUGCUGCAAGUACCAGUUCCCAUUAGAGAAAUGUCAUGAUAAAUACAUUUGUAAUUAUUUUUCCUUCGAGGAAUAAAAAAUCCACUUGCAAGUAGGUAGUGAAGUAGUCAAACUUGAAUUAAGCCCCCAAGGAAGAUCAUAGAAGAAGAGAUGCUGCUAGUUUCAGCCUCCUAUGACCUUUCUUAAUUCAGUUUCCAACUAUUUUGCUAGAUUUAAUCCAAUAUGCCGAUGCAAUACUUGUGGAGCAGUCAUAUUUUUUGGCCUUAUUGGAUAAUCUCAGGUGUAGCUUUCAAUCUCUAAGAAAAAAAAUAUGAUGAUAUCACUUUAAUAUGCACUUCUGCAGAGUUUCACCGAUCUGCCCGUCGCAGGGUAAUUAAUAAAUAAACAAAACAUUGCACAUAAAAAGUUGAUAAGUCCCGCAAUUGCCAACUUGAGAACUCCAUAAUCAACCAACCUACUAUGUUUGACAAUAAACUUGUGAGUUUCACCGAUCUCCUCGUCGCAGGAUUGUUCAUGUGCACUUUGUGGGAGCGGCAUAGCAUUAUUUUUUAUAAAACAAUACCAAACACAAUUGACUUGAGGAGCUAUAAAAUUCCCUAUUAACUUUUAGUAAUGUGCACAUUUUGAUUGUGCAUUUAGAAAAUUAAGGAGCGCAUGUGUAGACUUACAAAUGCAUCAUCUUUCCAAUUUUUUUCUGAACAUCUCUCUCUCUCUCUCUCUCUCUCUUACACAUAUGUAUUAGAGAAGAAAAAAAGUUAAUGUAGUGCCUCUAUAUUUUUAAAAUAGAUGCCCUUUGUUUGGUGCAUCUAAUCCCUACUAUCCUAAUGUUAAAUUAAAGCAUGAGCUGUCCAUGCAUUGUUAAUUAUCAUCUUGUCACAUCUACUCUUGCUGUCUCGCAUACAAUUUAGUUUAAACGAGUAAGAAAAACUUUUCUUUGGAUUGCAUCAUGCUUUUCUUAGGCCCCCCAAAGUGCUUGCUCCUAAGGAUCCAGCUGUCAAGAGGAACAUGGACGUCAUGGGCGCUGAAAGUGGUUUGAGAUAAUGGAUAGAUGGGUAAGUUUCUAAAAUUCCAGAACCAAUCCGUUCUCCUCCUAGUUCCUGGAGUUGGGUUGGAUCCAUUGCGCCAAAGAAGGCUUCACCAUCCAUUGCUUACUUUGAGAUCUAUACAAAAGAUGAAUAAUAUGAGAUUGGAUCAUUUUGAAAUUUGUGCAGUGGAUGAUUCAAUGGUGGAUUUGCACGAAGAAAGAUGAAUUCUUUUUUACCGCAAAAGAUAACAAUCUGAGUCCAUUAGUUCUCCAAUCUGUAUGGCAGCUGAGAAUUAGAGGUGCCAUAAUACGUGAGCUUCGUGCAUGUGAACAGCCAAGAAUUUAGGUUGUAUCUUUUUUUUCAUGAUAUUGAUAUUAGGAUUGUGUCUUUAUAGACCUCAAAGUAUUUCAAACUUUUAUACCUAUCCACGUACAUAGAUUUUGAAGCAUCUAUGAUGCGAUCCGAUGGUGGAUUUAUGGAAUCCUUCUCGCACCCCAAAGAUACAGCCCCUGGCUUGCGGACACUUUAAGGCGACACAGGAUCUGAUACACAUGCUGCGGGCCACGGUGCGGAGCCUUAGGCUUGCGGAGGAGGGAAUUCUUAGGGCAUACCUGGCUUACCACAUCUGAUUGGACUGGAAUGCUCGUCUGUUUGAGGGCAGGAGGUUCUCGGCGAGGAUAGUGGUAGAGAGAGCUAUGCUUCAGGCCGAAGAGGUCUUUUCUUGUACUGCCUUGUCUUCACUUGGGAUGACUAGGGAUAUCUAGGGUACCCGCAGUGCUGUUCAGCGUGCAGGUUUGCUGUUAUUUCUUGGAUACCCCCACCUUUGGUUAUCUUAAAGUGAAUUUUGAUGGCAGUGUGGCAACGGACAGGACGUAGGAAGGGGUUGGAUUUGUUAUCCGAGACCAUUUUGGAAGUUUGGUUGCAGCGGGAGGCCGGGGCUCGACAGGUCUCAUGGUUGCUGGGGUAGAGCUGUGGGCAGCUUGGGUGGGCAUAUCCUAUGCGAGGUGGGUGCUCGGGGUCGGGCGGGUGUACCUUGAGGGGGAUUCCUCUAUAGUCAUAGAUUGGAUCCGGGGUGCUGAUAAGUAUGGAGAUGGGCAUCCGCUCAUUCGGGAGACUCGCAGAUUGGCUAUGGAGAUGGAUGAGUUUCAGAUCGUCCACAUUUUUCGGGAGGCAAACAGGAUCGUCUUCUAUGUUGCACGACACUUCGAGGAGUUUCACUGGAUAUCCAUAGUAGAGCUACUGCCACAUUUGAAUUUUUUGCUUUUUUAUGAUUUGGCAGAAUGUACUCACGUUAAAGCUAUAUGAAUUGCCGUUUUCAUUAAAAGAAGAAGAAGAAGAAGAAGUAGAAGAAAGAUACAGCCCUCGCCAAUGGCCAUGAGCAUCUUAUCCGAGGCAGCGUGGACGGUGCGGGGCGAGGAGAGCAGGGAAUAGAGCGGCGUCGUGCAUCAUCUAUGAGGUCAGGAGGAGUGACGUAGAGUGACGUACUGUUCACACGAGCUGGCAUGAGUAAGCAACCACCGACAAAGCGUCCCGUGUGGUGGGGUCCUUUGUCUUCUCAUUUCUUUCGCUUUAUCCCUUCCAGUUCACACUGCAAGCUGGCUCACUGUUUUCUUGUUAAUUAUCGCAUUCAGGGUCGCAAUUAAGACAAAGAACAACUUGCCGAGCCCUUUUUGACGCGUUUGGUCGGCAGAAAUAAUUUUUAGUCGCUGAAAUAUUUUUUUAAAAAAAGAUAAUGUUUAAAAAAUUAUUUUUUGAAAAAAUAGUAUUUUUUAUAUUUAAUUGAUCAUAAUAAAAUGGCACUUUCUAGAGUUGUAUUAUAUAUAUUUAUUAUAUUUUUAAUAAAAAAAUUAUCCAUAAAUUUUGAUGGCUUAAGAGUAUUUUUGAAAAAAAAAAUUAAUUUUCAAUCGAUGAAAAAGUAGCUUUUUUUGUCUCCAUGAAUUUUUUUCAUAAAAUAUAGAAAUCUUAUUUUUAUAGAAAUGCUAAUUUUUUUCAUUCUCUCCUUUAAACACUUCAACCAAAUAAAAUGUAUCUUUUUUUGUUUUUUCGUUGAUCAUACUUAUGUUCUUAAAACUUUUCCAUGAUCCAAAGAGUCAAUCUUUAAAAAAAUAAUUCUUUAAUAUAUUUAUAGCAACCUAUGAUCUCACUUUAAAAUAAUUAAUUAAAAGAUAUUAUUUAAAUUUUUUGAUUCCAUAAAAAUAUUUAAGAUGUGCUAAUUUUAGUACUGCUAAGGCUGCAAAUGGGUGGGAUUGACCCAUGACCCGAUCCACAGGGCUGCGUCGAGUCCUAAAAUUAGAUCCAUUCUAUUUUUCGGGUUGGGUCUGGGUUUAUCGAAUCUCAACCCGACCCAACCCAUUUUUUUUGGGUAACUUAGGAUCCUUUACCCAAUGACCCAAUCCAACCUAACCCAAACCUGAAUUACCUAUUUAGGCCCACAGGCUGCAGGCUGUAUUGCAGCUUUCUCCUUCGCCUCUACGUCUAUAAAAGCUUCCUCUUUUUCUUUCUCCCAACUCAUCCUUCAACACAUAAAAUUAGAUCUCAUCAUAUGUCUUAGGCCUCGUUUGGCAGAGCUGUUGGCAGUAGAGCUUUCGGAAAUAAAACUUUUUGAAAUAGAGCUUUUAUAAAAAGCUAUUUGCUGUUUGGCAACUAUAUUUCUAAAUUGGUGUGAGACUUUAAUAUAUGUUUGGUAAACAAACUGAGAGAGUACUUUUGGUAUGACAAAAUGAUCAUAAAGAACAUUGCAUAGUAUUAUACAAAAGACUAUAAUAAAAUAUAAUACGUAAAUACAUAAACAUAUAAUAUAGUAUAAUAUUAUUGUAAUGUAAUAUAAUAUUAUUAUAAUAUAGUAAUAUAAUAUUAUAUACUAUAGCAUAAUAAGAUAGUAUAAUUUGAUAUUUUAUAACAUAAUAUAUCAAUGUAUUAUGAUAUAAUGUAGUAUAAUAUUAUAUUUAUAGUAUAAUACAAUAAUAAAGGUAUAAAAUAUUAUAAUUAUUAUCAUUAUAUAUUAAUAUUAUCAUUUUCUGUAAUUAUUAUAUUUUACCAUGGGUAUUUUGGUCCAAAAAAAUUUAUAACUUAAAAUAGCUUUCCGAUGGAUCUAAAAGUGCUUUUUUUUGAAGAAGUUCCAAAAUGGAGCUUCUCCAAAAAAAAUUGUUUUAGUUUUUUAGCAAAGUUAAAAUAACUAUUCGAUUCUUUUACCAAACAUUCCGAUUUCAUCUAAAGGUGUUUUUGGAGGAUCAGAAAGUAUUUUUUAGCUCUCUAAAAGCUCUACCAAAUGGAGCCUCAGAGACCCAAUGUUUUAAACUCUUCCUCGAUGGCCUUCUCCCUCCAUUUCCAUAUCUUGGUCUCCAAUGAGAUGAACCCCAACUCCUAUUGGCAACAGUAAUAGGAAACGGAAUCCUACCCAAACCCCACUCCUGUCUCUCCUUUCUUCUCUCUUCCCUCGGAUCUAGAAAGCCUCCCAGCCAAAACUCUCCGCCCUGUUUCUAAUUAUUUUUUAAUUUGCUACCUCAAGAUGGGUGUGAAAGGAUUUGUUGAAGGCGGCAUCGCCUCCAUCCCCGUUGGUUGCUCCACCCACCCGCUCGACCUCAUCAAGGUCCGAAUGCAGCUCCAAGGGGAGUUGCUAAGCCUCGUGGUCUCCACCCUCCGCCCUACUCGCGCCUUCCACAUCACUGCCAUCGUCACUCUCCCACCGCCGCCGUGCCCUGACCCUCUUGUCGUCGGCGCCUAGAUCUUCCGCUUCGAGUAGGGCUGCAAAUGGGUCGGGACGACCCAUGAUCCGACCCGACCCAACCCACAUAAGACUCGACCCGACCCGAAUUUUAGGACCUGCGGGGCUGGGUCAGGUCCUAAAUUUGAACCUGUUCUAUUUUUUGGAUCGGCUCAGGUCCAUCCAAUCUCGAUCCGGACCCGGACCUAACCCGACCCUUUUUUUGGAUCGAUUUUUUUCAGAGAAUGUUGCAUUGAUGCUUGGGACAAUCUUGUUGAAUUUAGAUAAUGUUGAAUUUGAACAUGUGAAUAUAAAAAUACAUAGAUCCGGACCCAACCUGACUCGAAUGACCCGUCGGGUCAAAAUUUGUAGGCAUGAACCGGCCCGACCUGACCCAAUUUUCAACCGGGUUGGGUCUAGGGUCCAAAAUUAGGAUCCAAACAAGAAAUCAGUCAAUUUGGGGUCACUCAAGACCAGAUCUGAUCCGAUCCAUUUGUAACCCUAGUUUCGAGGAUUCCUCCACCUAGAUCCGAAGCGUGGUGGACGUGAUCGGGCAAAGGGUGAGGAGCAAGGGGUUGGGGAGCCUGUGGCGGGGGUCAGCGCAAAGUGAACUGGGCAAUGAUCGUGACAGCAUCGUAGCUGGCGAUGUACGACCAGGCAAAGGAGGCGAUCCUGGGGCAUGGGAUCAUGGACGACGGGCUGGGGACACACAUGACGGUGAGCUUUGCUGCCAGGCUGGUGGCGGCGAUGGCGUCGAACCCGGUGGACAUGGUGAAGACGAGGGUGAUAGACUCGAUCCAACCCGGACCUAAAUUUUUUAGGUCAGAUGUGGAUUAUAUAUGGACCCGAUCUGACCCGAAUGAUCCGUUAGGUCAGAAAUUAUAGUCGUGGACCCGAUCCGACUUGACCCGAUCUUCAAUUGGAUCGGAUCUGGGUCUAAAAUUAGGAUCCGAAUAAAAAACUGGAUUGGGUCGAAGUCACUCAAGAUUCGAUCCAACCCAAUCCAUUUGCACCCCUAAGUACUGCAGUCAGCAUUGGAGCAUGGUCUUACCCAUCCCAGGCUCGCGCCCCGUUUGAUACUCCGGCCUUAUCGGUUCGUUGGUGCGAUUAAAACCCGAGAAAUCUCGGUUGUGGGGUUACCAAACUGCCGGUACACUAUAUUUUUUUUUCCUUGAUGAAGGGCAGGAUUUUAUCCAUCCAAACCAAUUAUUGAAAAGAAAAGAAACUUAUGCAGACUCCUGCUUGGCAUGCAAGGAAGCGCAUUUCUUGUUUUUGCCUAUAAAGCAGCCACGCCCCUGGCCGAUUCGCACCUUCACCCGUCCUUCCCACUCUCCUCGUUAUUCCUUUAUUCCUCUCUAAUUCUCUCGAGAGUAACAUAAUGGCGAGUGCCAAAGAUCCGAGGAAUCCGGAGAGCAGGCCCACGGGUAAUCCCUACCCGAAGAGGGGCCAGAUUAAGCUCAAGAUCGCCGAAGACGUCGUCUCGGCCAUCGCCUCUAUGGCUGGCGGCAGUCGUCGGAGGGAAGGACAGGAGGAAGGGGACGGCCGGACUGGGAGCUCAGCAACUGGCCGCUCCCAAUCCGAAGAGAAAUCCUAUUCCUGAAUCCUGAUGGAUGGAUUCUAAGCCGCCCCAGCUGUUACUCUGCGCUGUUUUUUCGCAGCAGAGCAGUUGGACUUCUUCUGGAUCUCUGCAGCUGUGUUUUUUAAAUAACCUGCAGACGCCCAGCUUUUUUUUCGUCUCACUCUUUUCUUUUCUUUUUCUGUUUGGAAUCUCUGUCUGUGGUUUUUUUAGAAGUACCGUAACUUAGAAGUUAGAAGUGGCUUUCUCUGUUGUUGUUGCUUUUCCGGAAGUAUCAGGGUGAGGUUUAGAUGUGUUUGGUUUCUCUGCAAUAACCUCUGUGAUCUCUACUUUUUACGUAGUUCUCGGAGGAGGCGUGCUUGUAAACUUUACAUUUCCUUAAUGAUGCUUUUUUCUUUCUCUGACAUAAGCUGCAGCGGCUCUGUUAGAUCUUCAUCUGUUCCUUUUAAAUUAUUUCCAAGAUAUUAAUUAUAUUGUA